GACGAACGCUGGCGGCGUGCUUAACACAUGCAAGUCGAACGGAAAGGCCCUGCUUGCAGGGUACUCGAGUGGCGAACGGGUGAGUAACACGUGGGUGAUCUGCCCUGCACUUCGGGAUAAGCCUGGGAAACUGGGUCUAAUACCGGAUAGGAGCCAUUUUUAGUGUGAUGGUUGGAAAGUUUUUUCGGUGUAGGAUGAGCUGGCGGCCUAUCAGCUUGUUGGUGGGGUAAUGGCCUACCAAGGCGGCGACGGGUAGCCGGCCUGAGAGGGUGGACGGCCACAUUGGGACUGAGAUACGGCCGAGACUCCUACGGGAGGCAGAAGUGGGGAAUAUUGCACAAUGGGCGCAAGCCUGAUGCAGCGACGCCGCGUGGGGGAUGACGGCCUUCGGGUUGUAAACUCCUUUCGCUAGGGACGAAGCUUUUUGUGACGGUACCUAGAUAAGAAGCACCGGCUAACUACGUG
RNAcentral lists this ribosomal RNA (465 nucleotides) under uncultured bacterium. RNAcentral's name for it is "partial 16S ribosomal RNA". It matches the Rfam family "Bacterial small subunit ribosomal RNA", at positions 28 to 507 of the family's 1533-position model. The record is from RNAcentral.